AGAGCGAACGCUGGCGGCAGGCCUAAUACAUGCAAGUCGAGCGGUCCCUUCGGGGGCAGCGGCGGACGGGUGAGUAACGCGUGGGAACGUGCCCUUUGGUACGGAACAACUGAGGGAAACUUCAGCUAAUACCGUAUGUGCCCUUCGGGGGAAAGAUUUAUCGCCAUUGGAGCGGCCCGCGUUGGAUUAGGUAGUUGGUGAGGUAAAGGCUCACCAAGCCUACGAUCCAUAGCUGGUCUGAGAGAAUGAUCAGCCACACUGGGACUGAGACACGGCCCAGACUCCUACGGGAGCAGCAGUAGGGAAUCUUGCGCAAUGGGCAAAGCCUGACGCAGCCAUGCCGCGUGAAUGAUGAAGGUCUUAGGAUUAGUAAAAUUCUUACGACCGGGACGAUAAUGACGGUACCCGGAGAAGACGCCCGACUAACUCGUGCCAGCAGCCGAC
This 444-nucleotide ribosomal RNA is filed under the name uncultured soil bacterium. RNAcentral's name for it is "bacterial SSU rRNA". It matches the Rfam family "Bacterial small subunit ribosomal RNA", at positions 26 to 518 of the family's 1533-position model. The record is from RNAcentral.